This 209-nucleotide ribosomal RNA is filed under the name uncultured bacterium. RNAcentral describes it as "partial 16S ribosomal RNA". It matches the Rfam family "Bacterial small subunit ribosomal RNA", at positions 568 to 774 of the family's 1533-position model. The record is from RNAcentral.
CAGGUAGGUGGUCUGAUUUGUCUGGAGGUGAAAGCCUUGGGCUUAACCCAAGAAGUGCCCCGGAAACGGUCAGACUUUGAGUCUUGGAGAGGGUUGCGGAAUUCCCGGUGUAGCGGUGAAAUGCGUAGAGAUCGGGAGGAACACCAGAGGCGAAGGCGGCAACCUGGACAAGCACUGACACUCAACUGCGAAAGCGUGGGGAGCAAACA